This 422-nucleotide ribosomal RNA is filed under the name uncultured archaeon. RNAcentral's name for it is "partial 16S ribosomal RNA". It matches the Rfam family "Archaeal small subunit ribosomal RNA", at positions 323 to 746 of the family's 1478-position model. The record is from RNAcentral.
CUACGGGGCGCUGCAGGCGCGAAACCUUUACAAUGCACGCAAGUGUGAUAAGGGAAUUCUGAGUGCUCAUGCAAAGCAUGGGCUUUUGCCAAGGGUAAAUACCUUGGCGAAUAAGUGGUGGGCAAGACUGGUGCCAGCCGCCGCGGUAACACCAGCGCCACAAGUGGGAAUCAGAUUUAUUGGGCCUAAAGCGUUCGUAGCCGGUUUAGUAAAUCCUUUGUGAAAUUGUUAAGCUCAACUUAGCAGCGUGCAGAGGAUAUUGCUAGACUAGGGACCGGGAGGAGUGUGAGGUAUUCCUUGGGGAGCGGUAAAAUGUUAUAAUCCUUGGAAGACCACCUGUGGCGAAGGCGUCACACUAGAACGGAUCCGACGGUGAGGGACGAAAGCCAGGGGAGCGAUCCGGAUUAGAUACCCGCGUAGUC